UCAAGUAACUAAGGGCUUACGGUGGAUACCUUGGCAUCCAGAAGCGAUGAAGGGCGUGACUACCGACGAAAUGCUUCGAUGAGCCGGAAGUAGGCUAAGACUCGGAGGUACCCGAAUAAGGCAACUUCUUGAACUGCUUAUCGAACCAAUAGAUAAGUAAGAGCAAACCUAGUGAACUGAAACAUCUUAGUACCUAGAGGAAAAGAAAGCAAAAGCGAUUCCCGAAGUAGCGGUGAGCGAAAUGGGAACAGCCCAAACCACAAAAAUAUUUUGUGGGGUUGUGGGACAGCUAAAAGACAUAUGAAAGGUUAGGUAAAGUACUUGGAAUAGUACACCCUAGAGGGUGAAAGUCCCGUAGUCGAAAACCGGCUAUAUGUCAGUUGUAUCCCGAGUAGUGUGGGACACGUGAAACCCCGCAUGAAUCCACGAGGACCACCUCGUAAGGCUAAAUAUUCCUGGAUGACCUAUAGCGAAACAGUACCGUGAGGGAAAGGUGAAAAGAACCCCGUGAGGGGAGUGAAAAAGAACAUGAAACCGUAAGUCUACAAGCAGUAGGAAAACGACUAAACGUUUGACUCCGUGCAUGUUGAAGAAUGAGCCGGCGACUUAUGUGUAGUGGCAGGUUAAAAUAGAGAAUAUUGGAGCCAUAGUGAAAGCGAGCUUUAAGAGAGCGUAAGUCACUAUAUAUAGACCCGAAACCGGAUGAUCUAGCCAUGGCCAGGGUGAAACUUAGGUAAUACUAAGUGGAGGUCCGAACCGACUGAUGUUGAAAAAUCAGCGGAUGAGCUGUGGUUAGGGGUGAAAUGCCAAUCGAAUCCGGAGCUAGCUGGUUCUCCCCGAAAUGUGUUGAGGCGCAGCGACUAAUAGUCAAACCUAGGGGUAAAGCACUGUUUCGAUGCGGGCUGCGAGAGCGGUACCAAAUCGAUGCAAACUCUGAAUACUAGGCGUAAAGUUAGUCAGUGAGACAGUGGGGGAUAAGCUCCAUUGUCAAAAGGGAAACAGCCCAGACCACCAGCUAAGGCCCCUAAAUAUAAGCUAAGUGAUAAAGGAGGUGAAAUUGCUCAGACAGCCAGGAGGUUUGCUUAGAAGCAGCAAUCCUUUAAAGAGUGCGUAAUAGCUCACUGGUCAAGUGAUCUUGCGCCGAAAAUGAACGGGACUAAGCUUAUUGCCGAAACUGUGGGAUGUUUACAUCGGUAGGGGAGCGUUCUGUGUUAGGUUGAAGCAUUAGCGUAAGCGGAUGUGGACAAAGCAGAAGUGAGAAUGUCGGCUUGAGUAGCGAAAACAUUGGUGAGAAUCCAAUGCCCCGAAAACCCAAGGAUUCCUUCGGAAGGCUCGUCCACGAAGGGUAAGUCAGGACCUAAGGCGAGGCUGAAAAGCGUAGUCGAUGGAUAACAGAUUAAUAUUUCUGUACUAUGUGCUAUUGAUAUCGAGGGACGAAGAAGGCUAUAUCAUCCGAAGGUUGGUUAUCGGUUCAAGUCCAUAAGGCGAUGAAAAAAGCAAAAACUUUUUGAGCUAAAAGAUGAGUACAAGAUACUAAGGUAUCAAAGUGAUUGAUGCCAUACUUCCUAGAAAAGCUUGCAAUAUCCUAGAUAGCAUAUACCUGUACCGUAAACCGACACAGGUAGGUAGGUAGAGAAUACCAAGGGGCGCGAGAUAACUCUCUCUAAGGAACUCGGCAAAAUAGCCCCGUAACUUCGGGAGAAGGGGUGCCCUAUGAAGGGUCGCAGUGACCAGGCCCAAACGACUGUUUAGCAAAAACACAGGUCUCCGCGAAGUCGUAAGACGAUGUAUGGGGGCUGACGCCUGCCCAGUGCCGGAAGGUUAAAGAAAUUUGUUAGUUAUUAAAUGAAGCUUAUGACUGAAGCCCCGGUGAACGGCGGCCGUAACUAUAACGGUCCUAAGGUAGCGAAAUUCCUUGUCGGGUAAGUUCCGACCCGCACGAAAGGCGUAACGAUUUGGGCACUGUCUCGGAGAGAGACUCGGCGAAAUAGAAUUGUCUGUGAAGAUGCGGACUACCUGCACCAGGACAGAAAGACCCUAUGAAGCUUUACUGUAGCCUGGUAUUGAAGUCAAGUCUAUCAUGUGCAGUAUAGGUGGGAAGCAAAGAAAGUAUAUUUGCGGAUAUACCAGAGCUAGCAGUGAGAUACCACUCUUGAUAAACUAGACUUCUAAUUUUGGAUGCCAUUAUCUGGCCAAAAGACAUUGCCAGGUGGGCAGUUUGACUGGGGCGGUCGCCUCCUAAAAGGUAACGGAGGCGUGCAAAGGUUUUCUCAGACUGGUCGGAAAUCAGUCGUAGAGUGUAAAGGCAUAAGAAAGCUUAACUGCGAGACCUACAAGUCGAGCAGAGACGAAAGUCGGCCUUAGUGAUCCGACGGUGCUGAGUGGAAAGGCUGUCGCUCAACGGAUAAAAGUUACUCUAGGGAUAACAGGCUGAUCUCCCCCAAGAGUUCACAUCGACGGGGAGGUUUGGCACCUCGAUGUCGGCUCAUCGCAUCCUGGGGCGGUAGUACGUCCCAAGGGUUGGGCUGUUCGCCCAUGAAAGCGGUACGCGAGCUGGGUUCAGAACGUCGUGAGACAGUUCGGUCCAUAUCCGGUGCAGGCGUUAGAGUAUUGAGAGAAACUCUUCUUAGUACGAGAGGACCGGAAGAGACGCACCUCUGGUGUACCAGUUAUUGUGCCAACAGUAAACGCUGGGUAGCUAAGUGCGGAUUAGAUAACCGCUGAAAGCAUCUAAGUGGGAAGCUAGCCUCAAGAUAAGUACUCUUUCUGCGAUAGCAGUGAAGAUCACGGCCAGACUAGCCGUUAGAUAGGCAUUAAGUAUAAGUACAGUAAUGUAUUAAGCUGAGAUGUACUAACAGAUCAAAAACUUGAGAUU
Molecule: ribosomal RNA, 2875 nt
Filed under: Neogoniolithon spectabile
Lineage: Eukaryota; Rhodophyta; Florideophyceae; Corallinales; Spongitidaceae
Description: bacterial LSU rRNA
Rfam family: Bacterial large subunit ribosomal RNA
Source: RNAcentral